UACGAAGGGUGCAAGCGUUACUCGGAAUUACUGGGCGUAAAGCGUGCGUAGGCGGUUUGUUAAGUCUGUCGUGAAAGCCCCGGGCUUAACCUGGGAAUGGCCAUGGAAACUGGCGAACUGGAGUGUGGCAGAGGGGGGUGGAAUUCCGCGUGUAGCAGUGAAAUGCGUAGAGAUGCGGAGGAACACCGAUGGCGAAGGCAGCCCCCUGGGCUAGCACUGACGCUCAGGCACGAAAGCGUGGGGAGCAAACAGG
RNAcentral lists this ribosomal RNA (253 nucleotides) under uncultured bacterium. RNAcentral describes it as "partial 16S ribosomal RNA". It matches the Rfam family "Bacterial small subunit ribosomal RNA", at positions 524 to 776 of the family's 1533-position model. The record is from RNAcentral.